Molecule: unclassified non-coding RNA, 287 nt
Filed under: Helvella sublactea
Lineage: Eukaryota; Fungi; Ascomycota; Pezizomycetes; Pezizales; Helvellaceae
Description: sequence contains 5.8S rRNA gene
Rfam family: 5.8S ribosomal RNA (bases 1-53)
Source: RNAcentral
GAACGCACAUUGCGCCCCCUGGCAUUCCGGGGGGCAUGCCUGUUCGAGCGUCUCCGAAGAGAAGGCUCACGCGUGGAGAACGCGUGGUGGUGGCGGAGGCGGCGGCCCCGACAGGGGAGCCACCCCGCCGGAAUCGAUGGGCGGACGCCUGUCGCGAUGCCGAGCGUGAUAUGACGCAUCUGCGCUCGAGCGCGGCGAGGCUCCCAGCCCCGGGCCCAUGAGUUUGGGCGGGGAGAGCAAGACAUUGGAACUCCUCGAAUCAGGUAGGGAUACCCGCUGAACUUAAG